GUGAUGGAUGGGGAUGCGUCUGAUUAGCUUGUUGGCGGGGUAACGGCCCACCAAGGCUACGAUCAGUAGGGGUUCUGAGAGGAAGGUCCCCCGCAUUGGAAUUGAGACACGGUCCAAACUCCUACGGGAGGCAGCAGUGAGGAAUAUUGGUCAAUGGACGAGAGUCUGAACCAGCCAAGUAGCGUGCAGGAUGACGGCCUAUGGGUUGUAAACUGCUUUUAUAAGGGAAUAUGUACCUUAUGAAUAAGGACCGGCUAAUUCCGUGCCAGCAGCCGCGGUAAUACGGAAGGUCCGGGCGUUAUCCGGAUUUAUUGGGUUUAAAGGGAGCGUAGGCCGGAGAUUAAGCGUGUUGUGAAAUGUAGAUGCUCAACAUCUGCACUGCAGCGCGAACUGGUUUCCUUGAGUACGCACAAAGUGGGCGGAAUUCGUGGUGUAGCGGUGAAAUGCUUAGAUAUCACGAAGAACUCCGAUUGCGAAGGCAGCUCACUGGAGCGCAACUGACGCUGAAGCUCGAAAGUGCGGGUAUCGAACAGGAUUAGAUACCCUGGUAGUCCGCACGGUAAACGAUGGAUGCCCGCUG
RNAcentral lists this ribosomal RNA (580 nucleotides) under uncultured bacterium. RNAcentral's name for it is "bacterial SSU rRNA". It matches the Rfam family "Bacterial small subunit ribosomal RNA", at positions 218 to 822 of the family's 1533-position model. The record is from RNAcentral.